AAUCAACGCUGGCGGCGUGCCUAACACAUGCAAGUCGCGCGCGAACGGGGGGCAACCCCCAAGUAGAGCGGCGAACGGGUGAGUAACACGUGGGUAAUCUACCUUCGAGUGGGGAACAACACCGGGAAACUGGUGCUAAUUCCGCAUGACAUCGUCGGGCCUUCGGUCCUGACGAUCAAAGCUGGGGAUCGUAAGACCUAGUGCUUGAAGAUGAGCCCGCGCCCGAUUAGCUAGUUGGCGGGGUAAUGGCCACCAAGGCUUCAUCGGUAGCCGGCCUGAGAGGGCGGACGGCCACACUGGAACUGAGACACGG
Molecule: ribosomal RNA, 313 nt
Filed under: uncultured bacterium
Lineage: Bacteria
Description: bacterial SSU rRNA
Rfam family: Bacterial small subunit ribosomal RNA
Source: RNAcentral